UGUGAGGCAUGUCAGCAGUUGCCGACGUUUGUAUGCUGUGUUGCAACUUUGACUUUGGUGGGCCAAGGUAGCCAAAGCGUUGUACAGGUAGCGGACCUUGCUAUCCAAGGCUUCCUCCUGUAGGCCGUCUAGCAUUGCGCGCCAUCAGCAACAUCAUUAGGGCGAUAUGGUUUUUAGAUCUUGGAGCAAGUGGAAAUUCGUGGAGACUCAGCAAUACAAACGCACUUAACCUUGUCAGCAACAGAAAUUGAACGAUAAGCCAGUUGUUUCAUUCGUCAUGUAGAUUGUCUGACCACCGACUUACCAAACGGGACGCCAUAAGCCUCUGGAACAAGGAGCUGUUCAUCUGGAAAAAGAUACUCAGUGGCAUGGGACGGCUCCCUGUAAGAUGUUCAACGGUGUGUUGCUGGUCAUGAUAGCUGUCAACCACCUCAGCCUCAUCGGCGGUUCUCCGCGGCCGCGAGAGCUGUUCUCCUGCGAGGCUCGUGCCGUCGAGAACCCGUGUGAGAACGGCGGGGCUUGCCGCGUGCACGUGUCGGCCAGCCGCGCCGGCCCGCCAGUCGUCACAUGCCGGUGCCCCCCGGCGUGGACGGGGGCCAC
Pollicipes pollicipes is the source of this 600-nucleotide long non-coding RNA. RefSeq lists it as uncharacterized. NCBI's taxonomy places the organism in Eukaryota, Metazoa, Arthropoda, Thecostraca, Pollicipedomorpha, Pollicipedidae. The transcript is spliced from 3 exons. The record is from RefSeq and is a predicted model, not a curated record.